GAGUAGCUCAGCUGGAUAGAGCGUCCGCCUCCUAAGCGGAAGGUCGUGGGUUCGAAUCCCAUCUC
This 65-nucleotide transfer RNA is filed under the name uncultured Pseudobutyrivibrio sp. It matches the Rfam family "tRNA", at positions 5 to 66 of the family's 71-position model. From Rfam's summary of the family: Transfer RNA (tRNA) molecules are approximately 80 nucleotides in length. Their secondary structure includes four short double-helical elements and three loops (D, anti-codon, and T loops). Further hydrogen bonds mediate the characteristic L-shaped molecular structure. tRNAs have two regions of fundamental functional importance: the anti-codon, which is responsible for specific mRNA codon recognition, and the 3' end, to which the tRNAs corresponding amino acid is attached (by aminoacyl-tRNA synthetases). tRNAs cope with the degeneracy of the genetic code in two manners: having more than one tRNA (with a specific anti-codon) for a particular amino acid; and 'wobble' base-pairing, i.e. permitting non-standard base-pairing at the 3rd anti-codon position. Lineage: Bacteria; Bacillati; Bacillota; Clostridia; Lachnospirales; Lachnospiraceae. The record is from RNAcentral.